RNAcentral lists this ribosomal RNA (196 nucleotides) under Acinetobacter baumannii. Its description in RNAcentral is "partial 16S ribosomal RNA". It matches the Rfam family "Bacterial small subunit ribosomal RNA", at positions 1339 to 1533 of the family's 1533-position model. Lineage: Bacteria; Pseudomonadati; Pseudomonadota; Gammaproteobacteria; Moraxellales; Moraxellaceae. The record is from RNAcentral.
UAAUCGCGGAUCAGAAUGCCGCGGUGAAUACGUUCCCGGGCCUUGUACACACCGCCCGUCACACCAUGGGAGUUUGUUGCACCAGAAGUAGCUAGCCUAACUGCAAAGAGGGCGGUUACCACGGUGUGGCCGAUGACUGGGGUGAAGUCGUAACAAGGUAGCCGUAGGGGAACCUGCGGCUGGAUCACCUCCUUAA